AAUAAACAACCUUAUUGAAUAAACAUUAAUCCAAACAUAUUGAAUAACCAAAUUACAAAGGUAUAAUUAAUAGUGCUACAUAACCCUUCGGUUUAACACGACCCAGAACUAAAUUGAACGAUUUCUCAUUUGUAUUAGAGAAAAGGUAUGUGGUAUGUAUAUUGGUAAUUCGACGCACUCACUGAUUAGAAUUGUAUUGUUAAAGAGUUAUUGUGAGAAAUAAUAAUUAAUAUAUGAAUAAAAAUGUAUUUAUUCUUUGUUUUGACGUUUAAUAAGUCAAGUUGCUGAUUUGACUAAUCAGUAGUGACGUUUAAUUGAACUGUCAAAUUUUUGAGUUAGGUUUUCGACAAUUCGCCUGAUUUAAGUUGGUUUAAUUCACUUUUUACGCUUUUGAGGUUAAUUCGGAAUAUUGGUGAUGAUCUGUCAUAAUUACGUUUUACAUAACCUCAUAAACUAAUGAAGAUUUCAAAAGAAUAUGGUAACAUAGCCCUUGAGGAAUCAUUUCG
Molecule: long non-coding RNA, 506 nt
Organism: Onthophagus taurus
Lineage: Eukaryota; Metazoa; Arthropoda; Insecta; Coleoptera; Scarabaeidae
Source: RefSeq, a predicted model, not a curated record